RNAcentral lists this unclassified non-coding RNA (362 nucleotides) under uncultured bacterium. RNAcentral's name for it is "contains 16S-23S intergenic spacer region". The record is from RNAcentral.
UCCCCGUUACCGGGGCAGUCUGAUUAGAAAAAUCCAACUAAUCACAAGGGUUGCGCUCGUUGAUGGACUUAACCAAACAUCUCACGACACGAGCUGACGACGGCCAUGCAACACCUGUCUCUACGGCCCGAAGGCACUUCCUCCUUUCGGAAGAAUUAGUAGGAUGUCAAACCCUGGUAAGGUUCUUCGCUUACCAUCGAAUUAAAGAACACACUCCACCGCUUGUGCGGGUCCCCGUCAAUUCCUUUAUGUUUUAAGCUUGCGCUCGUACUCCACAGGCGGGAUGCUUAACGCGUUAGCUUCGCUACAUCGCGGGUCGAUACGCAAUACAGCUAGCAUCCAUCGUUUACGGCGUGGACUAA